Molecule: ribosomal RNA, 480 nt
Filed under: uncultured bacterium
Lineage: Bacteria
Description: bacterial SSU rRNA
Rfam family: Bacterial small subunit ribosomal RNA
Source: RNAcentral
UUGAACGCUGGCGGCAUGCCUUACACAUGCAAGUCGAACGGUAACAGGUCUUCGGAUGCUGACGAGUGGCGAACGGGUGAGUAAUACAUCGGAACGUGCCCGAUCGUGGGGGAUAACGAAGCGAAAGCUUUGCUAAUACCGCAUAAGAUCUACGGAUGAAGGCAGGGGACCGCGAGGCCUUGCGCGAACGGAGCGGCCGAUGGCAGAUUAGCUAGUUGGUGGGGUAAAGGCCCACCAAGGCGACGAUCUGUAGCGGGUCUGAGAGGAUGAUCCGCCACACUGGGACUGAGACACGGCCCAGACUCCUACGGGAGGCAGCAGUGGGGAAUUUUGGACAAUGGGCGCAAGCCUGAUCCAGCCAUGCCGCGUGCGGGACGAAGGCCUUCGGGUUGUAAACCGCUUUCAGCCGGAAAGAAGUCGAUGUUUUUAAUACGGACAGUGGAUGACGGUACCGGAAGAAGAAGCACCGGCUAACUACGU